RNAcentral lists this ribosomal RNA (1043 nucleotides) under uncultured archaeon. RNAcentral describes it as "bacterial SSU rRNA". It matches the Rfam family "Archaeal small subunit ribosomal RNA", at positions 1 to 1054 of the family's 1478-position model. The record is from RNAcentral.
UCUGGUUGAUCCUGCCGGAGGCCACUGCUAUCGGAGUUCGAUUAAGCCAUGCGAGUCGAGAGGUGUAAGACCUCGGCAUACUGCUCAGUAACACGUGGACGACCUACCCUGAAGAGGGGGAUAACCCCGGGAAACUGGGGAUAAUACCCCAUAGACUAUGGAUGCUGGAAUGCUUUGUAAUUGAAAGGUCCGCCGCUUCAGGAUGGGUCUGCGGCCGAUUAGGUUGUUGUUGGGGUAACGGCCCAACAAGCCUGUAAUCGGUACGGGUUGUGGGAGCAAGAGCCCGGAGAUGGAUUCUGAGACACGAAUCCAGGCCCUACGGGGCGCAGCAGGCGCGAAAACUUUACAAUGCGAGAAAUCGUGAUAAGGGAACUCCGAGUGCCCGUAAAAUCGGGCUGUCCGCCAGUGUAAAUAACUGGUGAAGAAAGGGCCGGGCAAGACCGGUGCCAGCCGCCGCGGUAAUACCGGCGGCUCGAGUGGUGGCCACUAUUACUGGGCUUAAAGCGUUCGUAGCUGGUCUGUUAAGUCUCUGGGGAAAUCUUCCGGCUUAACCGGAAGGCGUCUCAGGAAUACUGGCAGACUAGGGACCGGAAGAGGUGAGAGGUACUCCAGGGGUAGGAGUGAAAUCCUGUAAUCCUUGGGGGACCACCUGUGGCGAAGGCGUCUCACCAGGACGGCUCCGACAGUGAGGAACGAAAGCUGGGGGAGCAAACCGGAUUAGAUACCCGGGUAGUCCCAGCUGUAAACGAUGCGCGUUAGGUGUAUCGGUGACCACGAGUCACCGAGGUGCCGAAGAGAAAUCGUGAAACGCGCCGCCUGGGAAGUACGGUCGCAAGGCUGAAACUUAAAGGAAUUGGCGGGGGAGCACCACAACGGGUGGAGCCUGCGGUUUAAUCGGACUCAACGCCGGGAAACUCACCGGACAAGACAGCUGAAUGAUAGUCGGGCUGAAGACUCUACUUGACUAGCUGAGAGGAGGUGCAUGGCCGUCGUCAGUUCGUACUGUGAAGCAUCCUGUUAAGUCAGGCAACGAGCGAGACCCA